AUAGAACGCUGGCGGCAUGCCUUACACAUGCAAGUCGAACGGCAGCACGGGUGCUUGCACCUGGUGGCGAGUGGCGAACGGGUGAGUAAUACAUCGGAACAUGUCCUGUAGUGGGGGAUAGCCCGGCGAAAGCCGGAUUAAUACCGCAUACGAUCUACGGAUGAAAGCGGGGGACCUUCGGGCCUCGCGCUAUAGGGUUGGCCGAUGGCUGAUUAGCUAGUUGGUGGAGUAAAGGCCUACCAAGGCGACGAUCAGUAGCUGGUCUGAGAGGACGACCAGCCACACUGGGACUGAGACACGGCCCAGACUCCUACGGGAGGCAGCAGUGGGGAAUUUUGGACAAUGGGCGAAAGCCUGAUCCAGCAAUGCCGCGUGUGUGAAGAAGGCCUUCGGGUUGUAAAGCACUUUUGUCCGGAAAGAAAUCCUUGGCCCUAAUACGGUCGGGGGAUGACGGUACCGGAAGAAUAAGCACCGGCUAACUACGUG
Molecule: ribosomal RNA, 486 nt
Filed under: uncultured bacterium
Lineage: Bacteria
Description: partial 16S ribosomal RNA
Rfam family: Bacterial small subunit ribosomal RNA
Source: RNAcentral